This is a non-coding RNA of Sinocyclocheilus anshuiensis, 600 nucleotides long. Lineage: Eukaryota; Metazoa; Chordata; Actinopteri; Cypriniformes; Cyprinidae. The record is from the annotation of a RefSeq genome assembly.
UUCAUAAUAACAGAUCAUAAAGCAAACAUGUCUUUAAUAGCCAUCAUUAUUUGGACGCUCGCAACCUGCACCUGGAGUUCUGUGGGGCAGAUUCUGACUCAAUCUGAAGAUCAAACAGGGAAUCCUGAUCAGACUGUCACUAUUCACUGUAAUCAUACACCAGCUGUGAAUUGUCGGAAAAAGGAUACCUCUCUGUAUUGCAUGUCCUGGUACCAUCAGAUUCCUGGAGAAGCUCCUAAACUCCUGACCUAUUACACAUCACAGAUAGCUUCAGGUGUUUCUUCUAGAUUCAGUGGCAGUGAAAGUGGAAACCACAUGGAUUUUACGCUGGCCAUCAGUGGAGUCCAGCCUGAAGAUUCAGGAGUUUAUUACUGUCAGAGUCAACAUGACAAAGGUGUCUCUGGCACCACAGACUGGGUGUUCACACAGUGUAAAAGCAUCAUACAAAAACCUCCUCGGGUGAGACUGCAGCACUGCCGCUUUGAGCUUCUGCAGAUGUUGAUGUUGAAGAUCAUUAUUCACCUCACUGACUUUACACACAGAUACACAGAAACUCUCUUUAAUGCUGAUUACAAUCCAAUAAAAUCCAUUCAGCCAUGA